UACGUAGGGUGCAAGCAUUAAUCGGAAUUAUUGGGCGUAAAGGGCGCGUAGGCGGAUUGAUAAGUCAGAUGUGAAAAUACCAAACUCAACUUUGGUGCUGCAUUUGAAACUGUCUCUCUAGAGGAUUGACGGAGAAAGCGGAAUUCCACGUGUAGCGGUGAAAUGCGUAGAUACGUGGAGGAACACCGGUGGCGAAGGCGGCUUUCUAGUUUAUACCUGACGCUGAGGCGCGAGAGCAAGGGGGAGGCAAACAGG
This 255-nucleotide ribosomal RNA is filed under the name uncultured bacterium. RNAcentral describes it as "partial 16S ribosomal RNA". It matches the Rfam family "Bacterial small subunit ribosomal RNA", at positions 524 to 776 of the family's 1533-position model. The record is from RNAcentral.